RNAcentral lists this ribosomal RNA (359 nucleotides) under uncultured bacterium. RNAcentral describes it as "bacterial SSU rRNA". It matches the Rfam family "Bacterial small subunit ribosomal RNA", at positions 29 to 391 of the family's 1533-position model. The record is from RNAcentral.
ACGAACGCUGGCGGCGUGCCUAAUACAUGCAAGUCGAACGUUAAAGUCCUUCGGGACGAGUAAAGUGGCGCACGGGAGAGUAAUACAUCGGAACGUACCAUUUGGUGGGGGAUAACCACGGGAAACUGUGGCUAACACCGCAUAAUGACGUGAGUCUAAACUAGGCCUCUAUUUAUAAGCUUAGGCCAAUUGAGCGGCCGAUGCCCCAUUAGCUAGUUGGUAGGGUAAUGGCCUACCAAGGCGACGAUGGGUAGCUGGUCUGAGAGGAUGAUCAGCCUCACUGGGACUGAGACACGGCCCAGACUCCUACGGGAGGCAGCAGUAGGGAAUUUUGCACAAUGGGCGCAAGCCUGAUGCAG